GGCUUAUUGAUGAAUAAUUUUAAGUCUGACCUGCCCACUGAGUUAUUAAAGGGCCGCGGUAUUUUGACCGUGCAAAGGUAGCAUAAUCAUUAGUUUUUUAAUUGAAAGCUGGAAUGAAUGGUUGAAUGAAAAAAAAACUGUCUUUAUUAUAAAAUUUGAAAUUUAUUUUUAAGUUAAAAAGCUUAAAUAAUUUUAAAAGACGAGAAGACCCUAUAGAGUUUUAUUUUUAUAUUAUAAAAUUAUUUUGGUUUUAAAUAUAUAUUUAUUUUUAAAAAAUUUAAUUGGGGUGAUUGAAAAAUUUAGUAAACUUUUUUUUAUUAUUAACAAAAAUUAUUGAAUGAUUGAUCCAUUAAAAAUGAUUAUAAGAUUAAAUUACCUUAGGGAUAACAGCGUAAUUUUUUUUGAGAGUUCAUAUUGAAAAAAAAGAUUGCGACCUCGAUGUUGGAUUAAAAUAAACUUUUGGUGCAGAAGCUUUAAAGUUAGGUCUGUUCGACCUUUAAAAUUUUACA
This 509-nucleotide ribosomal RNA is filed under the name Dysmerus sp. BYU CO743. RNAcentral describes it as "partial 16S ribosomal RNA". It matches the Rfam family "Bacterial large subunit ribosomal RNA", at positions 1825 to 2600 of the family's 2925-position model. Lineage: Eukaryota; Metazoa; Arthropoda; Insecta; Coleoptera; Laemophloeidae. The record is from RNAcentral.